UGGUGUGUUUCUCAUGAAAUCUGGGUGUGACAGCUGUCACCCCACAGAUCACCAGUUGACCCCACUGAUCACCGUUGAUUCGGCUCAUCUGGCUAGAUGGGUGUCUCCUUCCUUCCUCACCACUCCAUGUGUGUCCCUACUGAACCUGCGUGUUUGGUUGAAGAGAACAGCCAUCCUUGAUAGAGGAGGACCAGUCUUCAAUAAAGGAUAUACGAGUGGCUGUGCUUGCCUGCUACAACCUCCAAACAUGCUAUUAGUCUUGUGAAUAAAGGGAUGAGCCAUAUAACUAGACGCUGAGAAAGACCAGAACAGUGCUGGUUU
Homo sapiens (human) is the source of this 321-nucleotide non-coding RNA. It matches the Rfam family "7SK RNA". Rfam says of the family: 7SK was discovered as an abundant small nuclear RNA in the mid-70s but a possible function has only recently been suggested. Two independent studies have found that 7SK RNA binds the CDK9/cyclin T complex (known as elongation factor P-TEFb). P-TEFb activates transcription by phosphorylating the C-terminal domain of RNA polymerase II. The record is from Rfam. NCBI's taxonomy places the organism in Eukaryota, Metazoa, Chordata, Mammalia, Primates, Hominidae.